AAUUUUUAACUCAAACUUUCUCAAUUAUUGUAAUAAAAUCUCAAAACUCAAUUUAAUUAGCUAAAUAUUAAUAAAUUAUUAUCAAAUUAUCAAUUAUAAUACUUUCCUAUCACUCGUAUAUCAUUAAUUUAUCAAUAUUUAACUAAUAAAAUAUGAUCAAAUUAAUAUAAAGUUUAAGUCGAAUCAAAUUAGGAUUUGAUCGAUCUAACCAAUUAAGAAAAGGAUAAAUUUAAAUAUAGAUUUGUACUUAUCCUUAGUUGUCAUUAUAUUAUUAGAAAGAGGAUUAUAUUCCUCUAUAUAAUAUACGGGAGUUUUUAUAAAAUAACGUCCUUUGCAAGGGAGCUAACACUCCGGUGAGGAUAUCGAUUAAAUCAAGAUCGAUAAAAUUAAGAACGUUGUGUGGAUACCUAUAGAGGCUGGACGCGUGUGCGGCUUUAAGAGAACCCGAUACCACGAUCAUCAAAUUAAGGUGAAGAUUUAUCCGCGAAUAAGAUAAAGAAUCAAUCUUACUUUUCUCCUUUAAUCUUAAAAAAUAUGAGGGAUCCUAAUUGCGUGGUUUUUGAGAUUGGAUCUCAAGAGUUUUCAAAAUCAAAUUUGUUUUAUUUCUUUUUCCGCGAUUUUAAAAUUAGAUUUUAAAAUUUGAUUAUAAUUGUUCUGAAAAUCAUUACCGGCCGUCCCUAGCGCAAGUAGUAAAGGGCUUGGUGGUUGGUACCUGAGGUCCCAAAUUCGAACCCUAGUUGAUUCAUAUUUCCAACUAAAUUUAUUUUUAAAUGAAGUAACGAAGUGGGCAGCAUGUUAUCUAUUUCUCAAAAAAAAAAAAAAAAAACUGAAAA
Molecule: long non-coding RNA, 833 nt
Filed under: Ananas comosus (pineapple)
Lineage: Eukaryota; Viridiplantae; Streptophyta; Magnoliopsida; Poales; Bromeliaceae
Description: long non-coding RNA (ACOM_LNC002901)
Source: RNAcentral